GCCGCAGUAUUUUAACUGUGCAAAGGUAGCAUGAUCAUUUGCCUUUUAAUUAGAGGCUUGUAUGAAUGGUCGGAUGAGAGAUUAACUUUCUUUAUUUUAUUUUAUAAAACUUUAUUUGUUAGUUAAAAAGCUAACAUAUUUUUAUUAGACGAGAAGACCCUAUAGAACUUUAUAUUUGUUUAUUUUAUUUAUUUUUAGUUUAUUUUUUUUAAUAUUUAUAUGUAUUUUGUUGGGGUGACAAAUAAAUUUAUUUAACUUUAUUUUAUUUUAUAUCAUUGAUUUAUGUUUUUUUGAUCCAUUAUUAUGAUUAAAAUUUUAAGUUACCUUACGGAUAACAGCGUAAUUUUAUUGGAGAGUUCUUAUUUAUAAUAAAGUUUGCGACCUCGAUGUUGGAUUAAA
RNAcentral lists this ribosomal RNA (399 nucleotides) under Anthocoris gracilis. RNAcentral's name for it is "partial 16S ribosomal RNA". Lineage: Eukaryota; Metazoa; Arthropoda; Insecta; Hemiptera; Anthocoridae. The record is from RNAcentral.